CAUAGAUUAAAAUUAUUUUAAUUGGUUCAGCCGUUAACUAGAUUGUUUGUCUGGUAAUUUUUCACAAUUCUAACUUUGGAAAAAUGAUAUUACAUCUCUUCUUUAUACUACAAGGUUUGUCAUAUUUCCAGAUGACGUUUGGGUAUAUUGGUAGGUGUGCAUUCCCAUGUGGUUUGCAGGGGAAAUCAUUAGUUCCAGUUAUUGGAGGAAUUUUCCAGUCGGGGUCGGUAAUCGGGGAGUAUGGAAUUGAAGAUCCAUCGAUUCUGACAUUUACAUUUACCAAUCAAAGCAUAUCUAAACAGGAAAUAUGGGAAUGCUAUGCCAGAUCAGGCCCUUUUUUCGCUUAUAGGCGAAAGCUGAAUGAAACUUACGUUGAAUAUAGAUGUGAAAAACGCCCACUUGUUCCGAUUAAAAGUGAUGGAGUCAUACGUGUAGUUUUUGGAUCGCAAUGGGAGCAUUUUGCUGAACCACCAACUAUAUGCGAUGUUUGCAACGGAAAAUUAACAGUUAGUCCUGUGAUUAAAGGUAUGUC
This is a long non-coding RNA of Mytilus californianus (California mussel), 532 nucleotides long. RefSeq lists it as uncharacterized. Lineage: Eukaryota; Metazoa; Mollusca; Bivalvia; Mytilida; Mytilidae. The transcript is spliced from 4 exons. The record is from RefSeq and is a predicted model, not a curated record.